RNAcentral lists this long non-coding RNA (1019 nucleotides) under Stegodyphus dumicola. RNAcentral's name for it is "uncharacterized LOC118205947, transcript variant X1". The record is from RNAcentral. Lineage: Eukaryota; Metazoa; Arthropoda; Arachnida; Araneae; Eresidae.
GACGUCUGUUAUGCAUGUUACAAAUUCAUGAAACCAAUAUUCAGCGAUCCGACCGCUGCGCCGCCAGUUUCCCUGUAAUACUGCGGCUACCUGCAUGAGGGACGGACGUCUGUUAUGCAUGUUACAAAUUCAUGAAACCAAUAUUCAGCGAUCCGACCGCUGCGCCGCCAGUUUCCCUGUAAUACUGCGGCUACCUGCAUGAGGGACGGACGUCUGUUAUGCAUGUUACAAAUUCAUGAAACCAAUAUUCAGCGAUCCGACCGCUGCGCCGCCAGUUUCCCUGUAAUACUGCGGCUACCUGCAUGAGGGACGGACGUCUGUUAUGCAUGUUACAAAUUCAUGAAACCAAUAUUCAGCGAUCCGACCGCUGCGCCGCCAGUUUCCCUGUAAUACUGCGGCUACCUGCAUGAGGGACGGACGUCUGUUAUGCAUGUUACAAAUUCAUGAAACCAAUAUUCAGCGAUCCGACCGCUGCGCCGCCAGUUUCCCUGUAAUACUGCGGCUACCUGCAUGAGGGACGGACGUCUGUUAUGCAUGUUACAAAUUCAUGAAACCAAUAUUCAGCGAUCCGACCGCUGCGCCGCCAGUUUCCCUGUAAUACUGCGGCUACCUGCAUGAGGGACGGACGUCUGUUAUGCAUGUUACAAAUUCAUGAAACCAAUAUUCAGCGAUCCGACCGCUGCGCCGCCAGUUUCCCUGUAAUACUGCGGCUACCUGCAUGAGGGACGGACGUCUGUUAUGCAUGUUACAAAUUCAUGAAACCAAUAUUCAGCGAUCCGACCGCUGCGCCGCCAGUUUCCCUGUAAGAUUUCUUUUUAUUUAAUUAAAAUUUUCGUAACAUACAUGAAUGAAUUCCAUCGGAUAUUUUUUAGGAUAAUUCAUUUCGGUUCAUAUUUUUUUUUAAUUUAAAUUUUCGUUACAUACCUGUUUAGGUUUCAUCACAGUUUUUUGCUAUAAUUUUUGUUUAACACCUAACACUUCUUUUGAGUAUCAUUUUCUUUUUCAUAACUAACAGUUCA